GACGAACGCUGGCGGCGUGCUUAACACAUGCAAGUCGAACGCUGAAGCUCAGCUUGCUGGGUGGAUGAGUGGCGAACGGGUGAGUAACACGUGAGUAACCUGCCCUCUUCUUUGGGAUAACGCCCGGAAACGGGUGCUAAUACUGGAUAUUCACUGAUUCUCGCAUGGGGGUUGGUGGAAAGGUUUUUUCUGGUGGGGGAUGGGCUCGCGGCCUAUCAGCUUGUUGGUGGGGUGAUGGCCUACCAAGGCUUUGACGGGUAGCCGGCCUGAGAGGGUGACCGGUCACAUUGGGAGUGAGAAUCGGGCCAGACUCCUACGGGAGGCAGCAGUGGGGGAUAUUGCACAAUAGGCGAAAGCCUUGUGCAGCGGCGCCGCGUGGGGGAGGGAGGCCUUGGGGUUGUAAACCUCUUUCGCUCAUGGUCAAGCCGCAGCUUUGGGUUGUGGUGAGGGUAGUGGGUAAAGAAGCGCCGGCUAACUACGUG
Molecule: ribosomal RNA, 482 nt
Filed under: uncultured bacterium
Lineage: Bacteria
Description: partial 16S ribosomal RNA
Rfam family: Bacterial small subunit ribosomal RNA
Source: RNAcentral